Molecule: transfer RNA, 72 nt
Filed under: Oryzaephilus surinamensis (saw-toothed grain beetle)
Lineage: Eukaryota; Metazoa; Arthropoda; Insecta; Coleoptera; Silvanidae
Description: tRNA-Ser
Source: RNAcentral
AUUUUCUAGUUAAUGAACUUGUUAAGUAUAUAUUUUGAAAAUAUAAUAAAGAAAUAAAAUUUUCUAUUAACU